RNAcentral lists this ribosomal RNA (254 nucleotides) under uncultured bacterium. RNAcentral's name for it is "partial 16S ribosomal RNA". It matches the Rfam family "Bacterial small subunit ribosomal RNA", at positions 524 to 776 of the family's 1533-position model. The record is from RNAcentral.
UACGUAGGUGGCAAGCGUUGUCCGGAUUUACUGGGCGUAAAGGGCGUGCAGGCGGUUUGUUAAGUUCAGGGUGAAAGCUCCCGGCUCAACUGGGAGAGGUCCUUGGAUACUGGCAGACUUGAGGAGGGUAGAGGAGAGUGGAAUUCCCGGUGUAGUGGUGAUAUGCGUAGAUAUCGGGAGGAACACCAGUGGCGAAGGCGGCUCUCUGGGGCCCUACCUGACGCUGAGACGCGAAAGCGUGGGGAGCGAACCGG